Arabidopsis thaliana (thale cress) is the source of this 348-nucleotide long non-coding RNA. RefSeq annotates it as other RNA. NCBI's taxonomy places the organism in Eukaryota, Viridiplantae, Streptophyta, Magnoliopsida, Brassicales, Brassicaceae. The transcript has a single exon. The record is from RefSeq.
GUCUGUUGGCGACAUGAGACGCAAUGAAACCAGCAGCUCCGGUGAUGAGAAUGUUCUUGGGAGUGUACGAAGCCAUGAUCAAACGCUGCGUUUAAGAAGAAUGAAAUCAUAAACACUCAAAUACGCAGAAAUGAAUCAGUAGAUCUAGGAAAUCAAACGCAUAAAAGCUUAGAUCCAGAUCCGAAAUCUCGAUUCUGUGAUUAUGACCAUCGGAUCAAAGAGAGAGAGUACGAAAGGGUAAAUGAAACUCAGUGAAGCAUUAUGAUCAAUGUAAAAUUCGAGAUAAUGGAGUAUAAAGGAAGACGAGAGAUUCAGGAAACAUACCUUCGAAUUUUUCAGAUCUUCAAC